Long non-coding RNA from Mangifera indica (mango), 1171 nucleotides. RefSeq lists it as uncharacterized. NCBI's taxonomy places the organism in Eukaryota, Viridiplantae, Streptophyta, Magnoliopsida, Sapindales, Anacardiaceae. The transcript is spliced from 3 exons. The record is from RefSeq and is a predicted model, not a curated record.
CGUGACCACGUCGCUUCUUCUCUCUUGUUAUCAUUGAUCUAACGGUUAUUUUCAUCUGAUCAAUUUUGCUUUAUUUCUGUUAUCUCAUGCAUUGUUGUAGAUAUAAGUUUACAACUUAGAGUUAGGGAAUUGGAUUUAAUGACCUGACAACAAGUUUGUUUUACCGGAUUAUUUCAGCUUGAUUUCUGGUUGAAUAUUAGGUCUUAAUUUCUUCAGUCUGAGAUUUCAAAUGUUUGGUCUCCGUGAUUUAUAUUUUCUUGUUGAAUAACUAGAUUAAUUACUCUUACUCAUAUGCACUACAUUACUUGUUUUUCUGAGUCUCUGUAUUGUAUGCUAGCCACAGUCCUCAAACUGGCUUCGCCAGGCUCUAUAGUUGCUAUUUUCAUUAUUGCUCAAGUCCUCGGUUUUUUUUUCCCCGGAGUUCUGAAUUUUGGCUGUUGAGUUACCAAAACCUUAAACUAAUUGGAAACGGGUCAAUUAUGAAUUUGAAGAUCUAACAUGGCUAGCAUCUUAAUUUCAUUGUGAAGAAGAUAUAUUAUUCAUCUAUAUUUUCUUUCUUGCAUGAUUUAGGAAUUUUAUGUGGGUAUCAGAGAAGAGCUUGUUUAAUUAUACCACCGUGCUAGGAAUACCCAUCAUUAAAAAAAAAAAAAACACCCAACUCAGCAACAAUCAUUACAUGCUCUGUUUUUUGAGAUGACCCUAUCUUGCGAACAUACAGCCUUUCACACUCUCAUGAUCCACUAUGUGACUUAUUGUUGUAAUGUGAGCAGGCAUGGCAGGAUUAGCACCUGAAGGAUCACAAUUUGGUGCACGUCAGUUUGAUGCCAAGAUGAAUGACUUAUUGAUGGCUAUAGGCUUACAGCGAAUGGACAAGAUUUAUGAUGAGGUUUAUAAUACAUUUGAUAAUAUGGGAUUGCAAGAGAACCUUCUAAGAGGCAUUUACGCAUAUGCAAGUAUCUCUGGUGAUAAAUUAUGACUUGCCGACACAGCCCGAGAACUAUCUUCAUCGUAUAGGACGAAGUGGCAGGUUUGGUUGCAAUCAAUUUUAUCACUAGGGACGAUGAGAGGAUGCUAUUUGACAUCCAGAAGUUCUAUAAUGUAAUCAUUGAGGAGCUGCCAUCAAACGUUGCUGAUCUCCUCUGAUUAGAUUUUGUCUUGAUUAUUACUAUGG